RNAcentral lists this ribosomal RNA (301 nucleotides) under uncultured bacterium. RNAcentral describes it as "partial 16S ribosomal RNA". It matches the Rfam family "Bacterial small subunit ribosomal RNA", at positions 509 to 808 of the family's 1533-position model. The record is from RNAcentral.
CAGCAGCCGCGGUAAUGCGUAGGUCCCGAGCGUUGUCCGGAUUUAUUGGGCGUAAAGCGAGCGCAGGCGGUUAGAUAAGUCUGAAGUUAAAGGCUGUGGCUUAACCAUAGUACGCUUUGGAAACUGUUUAACUUGAGUGCAAGAGGGGAGAGUGGAAUUCCAUGUGUAGCGGUGAAAUGCGUAGAUAUAUGGAGGAACACCGGUGGCGAAAGCGGCUCUCUGGCUUGUAACUGACGCUGAGGCUCGAAAGCGUGGGGCGCAAACAGGAUUAGAUACCCCCGUAGUCCCUGUCUCUUAUACA